Mus musculus (house mouse) is the source of this 4276-nucleotide long non-coding RNA. RefSeq annotates it as predicted gene, 46626. The record is from RefSeq and is a predicted model, not a curated record. NCBI's taxonomy places the organism in Eukaryota, Metazoa, Chordata, Mammalia, Rodentia, Muridae. The transcript has 2 exons.
CCCACCCCCACCCCCCUUUCUCACGGGUCCAUCCAGGGCUCUGGAGUGCCCUCGCUGACAGCAGCCGGUAGGUGGCACCAAAGCAUCUGAUACAGAACUGUGAGCCUCAGUAACUGCAGCCUUAGGGAUUUAUGUGAUCCCUGCCGAUUUCCAUGGCCUGUGAGAGUAGAUAGUUUCAUUAGACUGGAAUCUUUACAUCUCCAAGUUCCACAUCGGCUUUCUCAAUAAAUUCAAAGUGCCUCUUGAUGACUUGAUGAUAAGAACAGCCUUCUUCUCCUCACUUAGAGCUGAAAGUCAGCUGUGGUAGGUGGAGAGGACCAACCACCUGGAAGGCUCUGAGAUCAUCCUCUUGGCAGAACUGUGCUGAGGUUGACGCUCUGGGGAUGUACUCUACCACUGAUGUUUACCACCAUGGUCCUAACAGGUUUUCACAGGCAGAUGGGCCUCUGCAAUGGGCGGUAAAAUAAUGUCUUAGCUGAAGUCCAGGGCUCCUCAGCUGAAGAUGCAUUUCAGGGUUCUGCCUUCUCCUAAGGGACUCAGUUGACUUUCCAGGAAGAAGUCUGUCACUUGGGAGCAAGUAAACUAUUAACAACACAGGACAGUCAUGGACUUUGGGCAAGAAAUCUGUGUGGCAGGACUGGGGGGGGGUGCAGAUGUGGUCCAGUGGGAAGAAGAGGCCAUUGAACAAGACCAGGGACAAGGCACUGUCAGGCCCCGGAGCUGCUGCUUACUGUGGUGACUAAGGACCCAAGCACUGCCUGCGCCGUCAGCUGUGACCUUUAUGUCAAGAGUUCACUAUUUAAAGCCAGAUAUGAUGGUACGUUUUCCCUGUAACCCCAGCACUUGGGGGUGUGGGUCAAAGGCCAGACAGGAGUCAAGCACAAGUUCAAAGAUUUCCAAUUCAAGGCCAGCCUGGGCUAUUCCCAAAACUCCAUCUCAAAAAUAGCAAACAAAGGAUUUAGCCCUUAGGUCUCACAUAACUGAAAACAGCUAAGUUGUUUAGACUGGCCUGGCUUGGCUUGGCUUGGCUUGGCUUUGUGCUGAGUAUGCUGAGGGGUGAAUGCUAUAGGCGAGACAGCACACUAAGUUCAAGGCUGGGCACCUGAGUUUCCACUGCAUAGAUCAAGUACAGUAAGCCCCCACACAGCGAACAGUUGACAACAGCUAUAACAAAAGUAAAGUUCCCAUAGAGGACGAGCAGCAGAGAAGUAAUAUAUUCUUUGCCCACAACACAGUAAACUCUCAAAAGGUGCUUGGAAAGAGGGGGUAUACAUGCUGGGUCCUACUGGUUGCUGUCCUCCUCCUGUCCUACAGUAAGCAAGGACAACACAGGGCUCCACAAACAGUGCUCACCACCAUGGUGACUAACAUUUGUACUCCCUCUCUCCAUGGUAACAGGGGAAUCACUGUUCUCAAGUCCUCGUGCGGUGAUGGGACUUGUUGUCCUGGGACCUGAGAAAGGAAAUUGAGUUCUCAGAUAAUGCAAUGUACCACCCCAGGGCCUUGCUAUUUGGGACAACUGAUGUGUGAUGUCAGAGUCUAGGGAGAGAGAAUAUUUUUUUGUAGGUCACUUCUAAGACUUAGUGUGACAUGAAAGAUGAAACUUUCUCAGCCCUUUGAUUUCCAAUUUCUGUGAUGGAGGGUGAAUGAAUGCUCUCACUAACAUCUGGGAAAGUACGUUUUCAACAGCACUGAGUGGUAGGAUGUGGAAGGCUCUCCAAAUGUCUACACCCAACCCCCUGAACCCACAAACAGGUUACCUUUCAUGAUAAAUGAACUUUAAAGAAAUGAUUCACUGGGCAGUAGUGGUACACGCCUUUAAUCCCAGCACUUGGAGGCAGAGGCAGGCAGAUUUCUGAGUUCAAGGCCAGCCUGGUCUACAGAGUGAGUUCCAGGACAGUCAGGGCUAUACAGAGAAACCCUGUCUCAGGAAAAAAAAAAAGAAAAAGAAAUGAUUGAGUUGAUGAGGGAUGGCUCAGUGGUUAAGAGCACUGACUGCUCUUCUAGAGGUCCUGAAUUCAAUUCCCAGAAACCACAUGGUGGCUCACAACCAUCUGUAAUAGAAUCCAAUGCCGCCUUCUGGUGUGUCUGAAGACAUCAACAGUGUGCUCAUAUACAUAAAAUAAAUAAAUCUUUAAAAACGUUUUUAAGAAAUAAUUAAGAUCUUGAGGUGGACCAGGCAGUGGUGGCGCACACCUUUAAUCAAAGCACAGAAGAAGCAGAGGCAGGCCGAUCUCUGCGUUUCAGGGCUAGCCUGAUCUACAAAGCGAGUUCCAGGACAGCCUGGACCUGGGAGAAGCAGAAACUGACCAGGCUACCCUGGAAGAAGCUUAGACCAACUGAGGCCCCUGGAAAGGACGCUCUCCAACCCGUUGCACUGCCUGCAGACUGUGCCCAGUGCUCCAGGUCCCCAGGUCCCCAGUGAGCUGGGGUGGGCUCUGGUGAUACAGCUGUCACCUCUGCUCCUGUAGUUAACCCCUCACUCAUAUUCCUGUAAGUGACCUGUCUUACUCAGUGUUCUCUUGCUGUGAAGAGGUACCAUAAGCAAGGCAACCCAUUUUUUUUAAAAAAAAAUUUAAAUUAGGGCUUGCUUAGUUUCAAAAAUGUAGUUCAUUAUCAUCAUGACAGGAAGCAUGGCAGACACAGUAGUUGAGGGCUCUACAUCUGGAUCCACAGUCAGCCGGAGAAAGCCUCUCUUCUGAAAUCUCAAAGCCCACCCAUAGUGACACACUUCCUUCAACAAGGUCACGCCUCCUAAUCCUUUCAAAUAGUGGAGCUCCCUGUGGAUCAAGCAUUUAAAACUUUGAGUCUAUGGGGGCCAUUCUUACUCAAACCCCUACACAACCCCAAUCAAACUCAUUGGUUCACCGAGUUGGACUUUGGAGCAAUCAGUACUUUGGUCUGCUGUAGGUUCCCUCUCUGGGUGAGUAGACGUGUGUGUUGCAAUUUCCCAAGGAAAAGUUGUAUCACACACCACCCAUGCUUCAGGGCCAGAGGCAAAUCCUGCCUGCUUUCUGUUACACGUGGAAGGUGGAAUGCUAAGCCUUGUGGCUCACGCCUUUAAUCUCUGUACCCGUGAAGCAAAAAAACAGGUGGAGCCCUGUGAGUUCCAGGUGAGACAGGACAACGUAAUGAGGCCCCACAAAAAAGAUUGUGUGUCUCUCUGUGUGUGUGUAUGUAUGUUUGUGUUAGUGUAUGUGUAUAUGUCUGUAUAUGUGUGUUUGUGUAAGUAUGUGUAUAUGUGUAUGCAUGUGUGAGUGCAUGUGUGUGUGUGUAUGUAUGUGUGUGGAUAAUGUUAGGAACAAGCAAAAGAAGCAUAUUCUAAGUACUAACUAAGUUCAAGGUCCCAGGCCCUAAGGGAGCUGGGGACUUCCCUGAAGCUGAACAGCUUCUGUUGUAAACAGCUGGCUGAGUCCAGACAUCUCAGGGACAACUUGUAAAGAGACAGUUCUCGGAGUCUAGCCCUCGCAAGGACAGUUUCUCCAUCUUCUUGUCAGGGUCAAAGAAGUUCAUGUUCCCAGGUCUAGGAGCCUAUCCCACUUCUCCAAAUGUUUUAAUUGUCUAUUAGCCAGUAACGAAUAAAGAAAUUGUUGUUAUCUGAACCAAGGUGCGUAAGUUAUAAAGGUAUAUAACCAAUUGCCCACUAUGCCCUAACUGACUAUGUACAACUUACCCAGCCCUUUGUUCACUUAUCAUUUUAAAAUUCCGGGCCAGAGUCCAGGAGAGGACCUGGCUGUAAAAGCUGAGUUAAGGACCUGGAAGCCUGGUGCCCUGGAUACAGCCCAGUCUCCAACGAGCAGUCCCUUCCUUAACUCAAUGUCAAACUAGAGCUGGAUAACACUGCCGCUACCCCGGCUCCCCCGGCUUUGUGUUUUCAUACUUUAAAAACAUUGUACAAAACCCCCUUUGGGGAGUUGGUUCAGAUCCUGAACUGGCCACCCCCCCCCCAACUCCACCCCCCCCCCCAGCACUCAGAAGAGAAAAAUUCUCAGGAAAUUUAAGCUGUCGGCCAGUUCCCGAAGUGAGUUUUCUUGGCUUCCACCAGAACCCCAACAGUGAUAAAGUAUAAAAAGGCCUGUGAUAAGAGAAGAUUUUCAAAUCUGUGUGACGUGAAUGCAGAAGGCAGGACUGAAAACUACAGGUGGGGAGGGGGAAGAAAGGAGAGGGAGUUUGAGGCCGGAAGUUAGGCAAGGAUUGUGGGAAAAGAUCAUGAAAAAGAAGAAAGUGCCACAUGAAUGUGAAAAUGAUGCAAUAAAACCAUUUACUUUUAUGAUAA